RNA transcript from Panicum virgatum (switchgrass), 2148 nucleotides. It is a transcript of the gene named glycine oxidase-like, with no coding region annotated. The transcript has 10 exons. The record is from RefSeq and is a predicted model, not a curated record. NCBI's taxonomy places the organism in Eukaryota, Viridiplantae, Streptophyta, Magnoliopsida, Poales, Poaceae.
CGUUACUCCCUCGGCCGCCCACCAACCUCUCUCGUCGAGCUCAUCGCAAGCACCACCAGAUCACCUGGCCAGCCGCCGCGUCACUCCGUCCUCCGCUUCCAAUGGAUGCUGCCGUCGCGUUCGCUUCCGCUCGGAACCCUAGCCCCACGCGCUUCUCCUCGUCCUACGCUUCGCCGUCCUCGCGCGUCCCCCAGCGCUUCUGUGUCUGCCGCCCAUGGCGCGGGCGCGAGCGCGAGCGCCGGCUCCGCGCGCUCCGGCCUCAAUCCCAGGUCCGGCCCCCCGGGGCCACGUCCGCCGACGCCUCCCACCACGAUGUGGUGGUCGUGGGGGCCGGAAUCGUCGGACUCACGAUCGCGCGCCAUCUCCUCCUCCACACUCCGCUCUCCGUCGCCGUCGUUGACGCCGCAGUCCCCUGCUCCGGCGCCACCGGCGCAGGGCAGGGAUACAUAUGGAUGUCGCACCGGACGCCCGGCAGUGACAUGUGGGAGCUGGCGGCGCGGAGCAAGCAGCUGUGGGAGGAGCUCGCGGCCGAGGUUGACGGCCAGGGCGGCGGCGGUGCGCGGGAGAAGCUGGGCUGGAUGAGGACAGGAAGCUUGCUAGUUGGCAGAACUUCGGAAGAACUAGCCACAUUGGAGGAAAGGACCAAGGUUCUGUCCGAGGCAGGCAUACAUGCGGAAUUCUUGUCUGCCUCUUCACUACAUGCAUUAGAACCAGCACUCAGUGUUGGGAAAGAUGGUGGUGCUAUGUUCUUGCCUCAAGACUGCCAGAUUGAUGCGUUCCAGGCUGUCUCUUUGAUUGAAAAGACCAAUAACUCAUAUUCCUCAGAAGGAAGGUAUAUGGAGAUCUAUAAUGAUCCUGCCAUGUCAUUAGUAAGAUCGGAGGUUACUGGAACAGUAGAAGCUGUCCAAACUUCCAGAAACACAUUGUAUGGCAGAAAAGCUAUUGUAAUUGCUUCUGGUGCCUGGACUCGAUCCUUAUUGCAUAGUUUUCUAGAACCAGCUUUGACAUUGGAUAUUCCUGUCAAGCCACGAAAGGGUCAUCUUCUUGUGGUGGAGAAUUUUGACAAGGUUAAGCUAAAUCAUGCCCUAAUGGAUGUAGGAUAUGUUGACCAUCAGGUUGCUAAGUCAAAUCACACACACAUGGCUUCAAAGUCUAGCGAAGAUGAGCACGGUGCUUUAUCUAUAUCAAUGACCGCAACCGUAGAUGCAAAGGGAAAUUUGGUUCUAGGAAGCAGCCGGGAGUUCAAAGGGUUUUCAAGGGAGGUUGAUAAAUAUGUUGUUAAGUGUAUAUGGGAACGUGCAGGAGAGUUCUUUCCUGCAUUGAAGAAUGUUCCUCUUGAUAUUGAUCACAAUACACAGAUCAGAAUCGGGCAUCGCCCAUACAUGCCUGAUGGAAAGCCAGUUAUUGGCUUUAUUCCUGAUCUGCCAAAUGUUUUGAUUGCAACAGGACAUGAAGGAAAUGGGCUUACUAUGGUGAUUCACUGUUCACUGUAUCAUUGUGCUCCAGUUACUAGUGUUUUUGUGUUGGAAUAUUUUUUAUUCUUCUAUUUAGUUGGGCAGUGAAAUAUGAAAGGCACUAGGCACUGCUGAAAUGGUCACUGAUAUGAUUCUUGGGAAUCCUGGAAAAGUGGACUGCUCACCUUUCUCCAUCAAACACAGAUUUUCAGGUUGACCGUUUAUCCGGAAGCCCUCCUUCAGCUCUUCUAGUGACAAAUUACCGUCAUUGUCCUUGUCCAUCGUAUUGAACAUCUGAGUGUAUUUGUCAAUCUCUUCCACCGGUAGAUUCAUAGCGACGACCUCCAUUCAUAAUUAGAAAAUGCUUCACAUUUAGUGUGUCGCACUUGAAGGAAAUAAGGGUACAAACAGCAAGUUAUCUGCAGCUUACUCCAAGUGCCUUCUUCUUGAACUUGUUCAUGGAUGAGAACUGCUUCAGCCUGGACCGAACAACCUCCCCAAGUGACACAUUUGAAGCCUUAUCAGCAUUUUUGAGCCAAGGAUGCUCUGUAUUUUUAGGAGGGAAACGUGAGUCAUAGUUCAGUAUGCAGCAUUGUUGGGCCGUCCUUUCCAAUAAUACCAAUAACAAACCAGAAGUUACCAAACUCUUAGCAUGGCUUUCCAUGAAUAGAAUGCCAUCAGCUCUUUCCAUUCA